UACAGAGGUCUCAAGCGUUGUUCGGAUUCAUUGGGCGUAAAGAGCGCGCAGGCGGUCGAUCAAGUCGAGUGUGAAAGCCCCCGGCUCAACUGGGGAGGGUCAUUCGAUACUGAUCGACUCGAAGGCAGGAGAGGGUAGUGGAAUUCCCGGUGUAGUGGUGAAAUGCGUAGAUAUCGGGAGGAACACCAGUGGCGAAGGCGACUACCUGGCCUGUUCUUGACGCUGAGGCGCGAAAGCUAGGGGAGCAAACGGG
Molecule: ribosomal RNA, 253 nt
Filed under: uncultured bacterium
Lineage: Bacteria
Description: partial 16S ribosomal RNA
Rfam family: Bacterial small subunit ribosomal RNA
Source: RNAcentral